Molecule: ribosomal RNA, 329 nt
Filed under: uncultured eukaryote
Lineage: Eukaryota
Description: partial 18S ribosomal RNA
Rfam family: Eukaryotic small subunit ribosomal RNA
Source: RNAcentral
CCCUUAGAUGAUUUGGGCCGCACGCGCGCUACACUGAGUGUCUGAGAUACGAGUCUGCCUGGUCCGGCAAGGUCUAGGUAAUCGCUAAAAGACACAUCAUGCUUGGGAUAGAUUAUUGCAAAUAUUAAUCUUGAACGAGGAAUUCCUAGUAAGCGCAAGUCAACAGCUUGCGUUGAUUACGUCCCUGCCCUUUGUACACACCGCCCGUCGCUACUACUGAUUGGAUGUUUAAGCGAGGUUCUCGAACUGCUAGCGACUUAGCUUCGGUGAGGUCGCAGUGUGGGAAGUGAACCUAGCUUUGGUGUCUAGAGGAAGUAAAAGUCGUAACA